RNAcentral lists this unclassified non-coding RNA (18 nucleotides) under Chlamydomonas reinhardtii. RNAcentral's name for it is "small RNA Cre_3456". Lineage: Eukaryota; Viridiplantae; Chlorophyta; Chlorophyceae; Chlamydomonadales; Chlamydomonadaceae. The record is from RNAcentral.
UGGUGCAGAUGCUGCUGG